GAUGAACGCUGGCGGCGUGCCUAACACAUGCAAGUCGAGCGAUUCUCUUCGGAGAAGAGCGGCGGACGGGUGAGUAACGCGUGGGUAACCUGCCCUGUACACACGGAUAACAUACCGAAAGGUAUGCUAAUACGAGAUAAUAUGCUUUUAUCGCAUGGUAGAAGUAUCAAAGCUCCGGCGGUACAGGAUGGACCCGCGUCUGAUUAGCUAGUUGGUAAGGUAACGGCUUACCAAGGCGACGAUCAGUAGCCGACCUGAGAGGGUGAUCGGCCACAUUGGAACUGAGACACGGUCCAAACUCCUACGGGAGGCAGCAGUGGGGAAUAUUGCACAAUGGGCGAAAGCCUGAUGCAGCAACGCCGCGUGAGCGAUGAAGGCCUUCGGUCGUAAAGCUCUGUCCUCAAGGAAGAUAAUGACGGUACUUGAGGAGGAAGCCCCGGCUAACUACGUGCCAGCAGCCGCGGUAAU
This 468-nucleotide ribosomal RNA is filed under the name uncultured bacterium. Its description in RNAcentral is "bacterial SSU rRNA". It matches the Rfam family "Bacterial small subunit ribosomal RNA", at positions 28 to 524 of the family's 1533-position model. The record is from RNAcentral.